Molecule: long non-coding RNA, 1906 nt
Organism: Sapajus apella (tufted capuchin)
Lineage: Eukaryota; Metazoa; Chordata; Mammalia; Primates; Cebidae
Exons: 2
Source: RefSeq, a predicted model, not a curated record
AGUGAGACUCCAUCUCAAAAAAGAAAAUAAAUACAUAAAUAAUAAAAUAAUAACAUAGUUUUCUUAUUUUUAAAAAUAAUAUAGUAUAUAAAUUAUUAUUUUUUAAUUAAAAGUGAAAACAACAAAUAACUUCCCAUUAUGUUGAUCCAGUGUACUGUGACAGAUGGGGAGGAGCCCCACUGCAUCUGGAGUGGGUCUUGUCUGGCCAUGUGAACUAGUUAAUAGCUCAGAAAUCAGGAUACACGCCAGGCAUGGUGGGAUUACAGGUGUGAGCAACCGCAUCCAGCCUCUAACUGAUUUUUGAAAUAUAAAUUGGGUGUGAUUCAGGGAAUGUAACAAGAGCAAUCUUAUUUGAAACAGAAAACCACAUAUUUAAGUCAGCAGCCCACAUGAUAGUAUGGUAUUGAGUAAAAAUGUAUUCUUAGGUAUUUCUUGACUCAGUGGACUUUAAUCAGUCUACUGCAAAAGCUCGUUUUAUUUAAAGGUCUGCAGUUAUAUAUAAGAAUUGUUAGUAAAACAGAUGAGCCACUUAACAAUCUAAAAAUACCUAGAUGUAGUAUUCCCAGUUGUUAAUGAAAUAUUUAUCAAGUUUGGGAUUAAAAUUAACUUAGGGCCAUCAAAAAUGCAGAUUAUCUUUAAUUUGGUUAAAUCAACCUGGGAGUAAACAGGUAAUAAUCUCAAGGUAAAUUUUUGUUUUGAUUUAUAUAAAGUCAGAUUGAGACACCCUAGUUACAAGUUUAGAAUAGGAGUGGCCUCAGCUAGGUUCAAGAAAAAGUCCUUUGUUCCUCUGUUGCUCAUUUUGUCCUCAGAAACAAAUACAAUUGAAUUAUUUUCUGUACCUUCACAAAUUUGAAGCUGACCUGAAUUUGGUACCUGCAAAUUUAAAAUGGCUAAGGUCAAAAUAGUUAAAACAGUUCCUUUAGAAUGAAUGUGUUAGCAGGGUGUAGUGGUGCACACCUGUAGUCCCAGCUACCUGAGAGGCUAAGGUAGGAGGAUUGCUUGAGCCCAGAAGUUCAAAGCUGCAGUGAGCUAUGAUCACGUCAUCAUGCUCCAGCCUGGGCAACAGAAUGAGACCUUUUCUCAAAAAAAAAAAAAUUUUUUUUUAAUUGAAUGAAUGCAAUAGGUAAUUGAGGAUCUUCUCAUAUUAAUGAGUCAACAACCCUUCAUAAUUUAAGUUUAGUUAACUGUUUUUCUCAGGGCAAUAUUUUACAUAAACUUCUAAUGAAGAAUUUUAUGGACAAGAUUUUAGUUAAGGAAAAAAUUAAUCCCACAAAAUAAAGAGAACUAUUAAAUAGAGCUCUAAACAGAAGAAACUUCCAUCAAAUCAUUUUUCCCGCUUCUUUGUGCCAUGGUUUUAGGACCAGCCAUUUAUUUAUAUGAGACAGUUUCUGGCAGACUAUCCCAAGGCAGGACAUUUUAGAUUCUGUGUAAGAAGACUGACCACUCUUUGAUGAAUGGGUAAUUCAUGGUGUAAUGUAUGAAAAAAGUAAGGCAGACAACACAAACAUCACAGGAAGCAUGGCCAUGCUAGGCUCUGAACUCUGCAGUUACACACUGUCCAACAACUCUUGGAAGAAAAAUAGAAACUGACUUUAUCUUUGCCUGUCAAGUUUGCAAAUGGAUUAGUUCAUUACAAAGGCACUUGUCGAAACAUAUUUAUUAAAAAGAGAAGCCAGCGUUGGAAAUCAUCUUGAACAUUAAAAAAAAUAGCAACUGAUACCUUGUUUAAGAAGCGAGAAAGUUUCUGCUUUUUGGAAUUGAAUUGGUUUUUAUGUUAAAGUGGUAAUGUACCAGGUCUGUUUAUAUAGGUCAGUGUUGCCCAGGUUGUGGUGGUUUGCUGUUUUUACUUUUUUAUAUAUAAAGAAUGAAAACAAUGAGAGAAUAAAUUACUGGAUAUCAUCUAAAU